GGUUAAGCGACUAAGCGUACACGGUGGAUGCCCUGGCAGUCAGAGGCGAUGAAGGACGUGCUAAUCUGCGAUAAGCGUCGGUAAGGUGAUAUGAACCGUUAUAACCGGCGAUUUCCGAAUGGGGAAACCCAGUGUGUUUCGACACACUAUCAUUAACUGAAUCCAUAGGUUAAUGAGGCGAACCGGGGGAACUGAAACAUCUAAGUACCCCGAGGAAAAGAAAUCAACCGAGAUUCCCCCAGUAGCGGCGAGCGAACGGGGAGCAGCCCAGAGCCUGAAUCAGUGUGUGUGUUAGUGGAAGCGUCUGGAAAGGCGCGCGAUACAGGGUGACAGCCCCGUACACAAAAAUGCACAUAUUGUGAGCUCGAUGAGUAGGGCGGGACACGUGGUAUCCUGUCUGAAUAUGGGGGGACCAUCCUCCAAGGCUAAAUACUCCUGACUGACCGAUAGUGAACCAGUACCGUGAGGGAAAGGCGAAAAGAACCCCGGCGAGGGGAGUGAAAAAGAACCUGAAACCGUGUACGUACAAGCAGUGGGAGCACAGAGCAAUCUGUGUGACUGCGUACCUUUUGUAUAAUGGGUCAGCGACUUAUAUUCUGUAGCAAGGUUAACCGAAUAGGGGAGCCGAAGGGAAACCGAGUCUUAACUGGGCGUUAAGUUGCAGGGUAUAGACCCGAAACCCGGUGAUCUAGCCAUGGGCAGGUUGAAGGUUGGGUAACACUAACUGGAGGACCGAACCGACUAAUGUUGAAAAAUUAGCGGAUGACUUGUGGCUGGGGGUGAAAGGCCAAUCAAACCGGGAGAUAGCUGGUUCUCCCCGAAAGCUAUUUAGGUAGCGCCUCGUGAAUUCAUCUCCGGGGGUAGAGCACUGUUUCGGCAAGGGGGUCAUCCCGACUUACCAACCCGAUGCAAACUGCGAAUACCGGAGAAUGUUAUCACGGGAGACACACGGCGGGUGCUAACGUCCGUCGUGAAGAGGGAAACAACCCAGACCGCCAGCUAAGGUCCCAAAGUCAUGGUUAAGUGGGAAACGAUGUGGGAAGGCCCAGACAGCCAGGAUGUUGGCUUAGAAGCAGCCAUCAUUUAAAGAAAGCGUAAUAGCUCACUGGUCGAGUCGGCCUGCGCGGAAGAUGUAACGGGGCUAAACCAUGCACCGAAGCUGCGGCAGCGACGCUUAUGCGUUGUUGGGUAGGGGAGCGUUCUGUAAGCCUGUGAAGGUGUGCUGUGAGGCAUGCUGGAGGUAUCAGAAGUGCGAAUGCUGACAUAAGUAACGAUAAAGCGGGUGAAAAGCCCGCUCGCCGGAAGACCAAGGGUUCCUGUCCAACGUUAAUCGGGGCAGGGUGAGUCGACCCCUAAGGCGAGGCCGAAAGGCGUAGUCGAUGGGAAACAGGUUAAUAUUCCUGUACUUGGUGUUACUGCGAAGGGGGGACGGAGAAGGCUAUGUUGGUCGGGCGACGGUUGUCCCGGUUUAAGCGUGUAGGCUGGUUUUCCAGGCAAAUCCGGAAAAUCAAGGCUGAGGCGUGAUGACGAGGCACUACGGUGCUGAAGCAACAAAUGCCCUGCUUCCAGGAAAAGCCUCUAAGCAUCAGGUAACAUCAAAUCGUACCCCAAACCGACACAGGUGGUCAGGUAGAGAAUACCAAGGCGCUUGAGAGAACUCGGGUGAAGGAACUAGGCAAAAUGGUGCCGUAACUUCGGGAGAAGGCACGCUGAUAUGUAGGUGAAGUCCCUCGCGGAUGGAGCUGAAAUCAGUCGAAGAUACCAGCUGGCUGCAACUGUUUAUUAAAAACACAGCACUGUGCAAACACGAAAGUGGACGUAUACGGUGUGACGCCUGCCCGGUGCCGGAAGGUUAAUUGAUGGGGUUAGCGGUAACGCGAAGCUCUUGAUCGAAGCCCCGGUAAACGGCGGUACGUAACUAUAACGGUCCUAAGGUAGCGAAAUUCCUUGUCGGGUAAGUUCCGACCUGCACGAAUGGCGUAAUGAUGGCCAGGCUGUCUCCACCCGAGACUCAGUGAAAUUGAACUCGCUGUGAAGAUGCAGUGUACCCGCGGCAAGACGGAAAGACCCCGUGAACCUUUACUAUAGCUUGACACUGAACAUUGAGCCUUGAUGUGUAGGAUAGGUGGGAGGCUUUGAAGUGUGGACGCCAGUCUGCAUGGAGCCGGCCUUGAAAUACCACCCUUUAAUGUUUGAUGUUCUAACGUUGGCCCCUGAUCGGGGUUGCGGACAGUGUCUGGUGGGUAGUUUGACUGGGGCGGUCUCCUCCUAAAGAGUAACGGAGGAGCACGAAGGUUGGCUAAUCCUGGUCGGACAUCAGGAGGUUAGUGCAAUGGCAUAAGCCAGCUUGACUGCGAGCGUGACGGCGCGAGCAGGUGCGAAAGCAGGUCAUAGUGAUCCGGUGGUUCUGAAUGGAAGGGCCAUCGCUCAACGGAUAAAAGGUACUCCGGGGAUAACAGGCUGAUACCGCCCAAGAGUUCAUAUCGACGGCGGUGUUUGGCACCUCGAUGUCGGCUCAUCACAUCCUGGGGCUGAAGUAGGUCCCAAGGGUAUGGCUGUUCGCCAUUUAAAGUGGUACGCGAGCUGGGUUUAGAACGUCGUGAGACAGUUCGGUCCCUAUCUGCCGUGGGCGCUGGAGAACUGAGGGGGGCUGCUCCUAGUACGAGAGGACCGGAGUGGACGCAUCACUGGUGUUCGGGUUGUCAUGCCAAUGGCACUGCCCGGUAGCUAAAUGCGGAAGAGAUAAGUGCUGAAAGCAUCUAAGCACGAAACUUGCCCCGAGAUGAGUUCUCCCUGACUCCUUGAGAGUCCUGAAGGAACGUUGAAGACGACGACGUUGAUAGGCCGGGUGUGUAAGCGCAGCGAUGCGUUGAGCUAACCGGUACUAAUGAACCGUGAGGCUUAACCUU
Molecule: ribosomal RNA, 2909 nt
Filed under: Escherichia coli
Lineage: Bacteria; Pseudomonadati; Pseudomonadota; Gammaproteobacteria; Enterobacterales; Enterobacteriaceae
Description: 23S ribosomal RNA
Rfam family: Bacterial large subunit ribosomal RNA
Source: RNAcentral